UAAUGAUCCCCAAAGAUGUAUGGACAUAAAUGAGGAGAGUCUGGUACUGAGUCCAAGAGGAGAGUAAUGAUGUUUCAUUGUUGAAGGAGGAUUGAUGUGCAAUGAUGCUUCACUGUUGAAGUGUUGAAUGGUUGAUGCUUGCAAAUCAUUGCACAAAAGUGAAGCAUUCAGCAAACAAAAAUGGAGUUCGCUUGGGAAUGGAAAUCUUGGCCCAUAGCAGAUCCAAUGUCUUCAGCGGGGUGUAGGCCCAAAAGUCAGGUUGUGGAGCCAAAAACCGUUUGGGCCCAGGGCCCAUACCGAAUCCACAUGAAGCUAGAGGAACUGGUCCAAACGUUGAGUGUUGAUACACACCAAGUCAAAACGCACGCAGUUUCAAUGGCAUAAUCAAUCACCUUCAUCAAUCAAACCUCGCCUUCUCUUCUUCCCGGACGAAGUUCGAAGCAUCAAAUCAGUGAAGAACAACGACUUCAAGAUCAAUUUAAAUCUUCAAGAUUCAACAUCCUUCAUUCAAUUUCAAAUUAUAUGGCGCACGCGAAAUUAUUUUUCUCCCCAGCAACGAAAUCGAAACGAAAGAGUAAAUCUCGUACGCUACAGCCGAAAUGAAAACACCUCUCCAAAAAGCCCCAAGCUGCAGUAAUGACGAUGUUCCAUGAAUCUCCGUUUCAGUAUCAUUUUCGAGGAUUUGGAUUCUUCGCAUCGGUAUCAUCUUCAAGGAUUUGGAUUCUUCGCGCCUCAGAGUUCAUGGAUUUGUGUUUGGAGCGUUUGAAUCGUAGCAAGGAGAAGGACGACGACUUACCAGAUUUUUGAGCUCCCGCACGGUGGCUCUGUGACGACGCCCCAUGUUGAGGAAAGAGGAUUUGGAAGGAACAUGUAGAACAAGUUGAUGGCAAGCAAGCUCAAAACUAUAGUCAUCCCAAUCCAAGGCUAAUGUAAUGACAUAUGACUAUGCUUGUAUGGAUUUGUGAUAGAAUUUAAAUUCUGGAUUAGUGGAAACUGUAAUUUUUAUAAUAAUUUGUGAAUUAUAUUGUAAUUUUGAAUGUGAAAUAAUAAAUUAAAUGAUUGAGUAC
Lathyrus oleraceus (garden pea) is the source of this 1067-nucleotide long non-coding RNA. RefSeq lists it as uncharacterized. Lineage: Eukaryota; Viridiplantae; Streptophyta; Magnoliopsida; Fabales; Fabaceae. The record is from RefSeq and is a predicted model, not a curated record. The transcript has 2 exons.